UGGGGAAUAUUGCACAAUGGGCGCAAGCCUGAUGCAGCCAUGCCGCGUGUAUGAAGAAGGCCUUCGGGUUGUAAAGUACUUUCAGCGGGGAGGAAGGGAGUAAAGUUAAUACCUUUGCUCAUUGACGUUACCCGCAGAAGAAGCACCGGCUAACUCCGUGCCAGCAGCCGCGGUAAUACGGAGGGUGCAAGCGUUAAUCGGAAUUACUGGGCGUAAAGCGCACGCAGGCGGUUUGUUAAGUCAGAUGUGAAAUCCUCGGGCUCAACCUGGGAACUGCAUUCGAAACUGGCAGGCUAGAGUCUUGUAGAGGGGGGUAGAAUUCCAGGUGUAGCGGUGAAAUGCGUAGAGAUCUGGAGGAAUACCGGUGGCGAAGGCGGCCCCCUGGACAAAGACUGACGCUCAGGUGCGAAAGCGUGGGGAGCAAACAGG
This 429-nucleotide ribosomal RNA is filed under the name Chloroflexota bacterium. RNAcentral's name for it is "Chloroflexi bacterium partial 16S ribosomal RNA". It matches the Rfam family "Bacterial small subunit ribosomal RNA", at positions 355 to 776 of the family's 1533-position model. Lineage: Bacteria; Bacillati; Chloroflexota. The record is from RNAcentral.